UACGUAGGGUGCGAGCGUUAAUCGGAAUUACUGGGCGUAAAGCGUGCGCAGGCGGUUUUGUAAGUCAGAUGUGAAAUCCCCGAGCUUAACUUGGGAAUUGCGCUUGUAACUGGCAAGCUAGAGUGUGGCAGAGGGGGGUGGAAUUCCACGUGUAGCAGUGAAAUGCGUAGAUAUGUGGAGGAACACCGAUGGCGAAGGCAGCCCCCUGGGUUAACACUGACGCUCAUGCACGAAAGCGUGGGGAGCAAACAGG
Molecule: ribosomal RNA, 253 nt
Filed under: uncultured bacterium
Lineage: Bacteria
Description: partial 16S ribosomal RNA
Rfam family: Bacterial small subunit ribosomal RNA
Source: RNAcentral